GCAUAUCAAUAAGCGGAGGAAAAGAAACUAACAAGGAUUCCCCUAGUAACGGCGAGUGAACGGGAAGAGCUCAAAUUUGAAAUCUGGCGUCCUCAGGGCGUCCGAGUUGUAAUCUAUAGAGGCGUUUCCGUGCCGGACCGUGUACAAGUUCCUUGAGAACAGGAUAUCAAAGAGGGUGACAAUCCCGUACUUGACACGACGACCGGUGCUCUGUGAUACGUCUUCUACGAGUCGAGUUGUUUGGGAAUGCAGCUCAAAAUGGGUGGUGAGUUCCAUCUAAAGCUAAAUAUUGGCGAGAGACCGAUAGCGAACAAGUACCGUGAGGGAAAGAUGAAAAGCACUUUGGAAAGAGAGUUAAACAGUACGUGAAAUUGUUGAAAGGGAAACGAUUGAAGUCAGUCGUGACCGAGAGGCUCAGCCGGUUCUGCCGGUGUAUUCCCCUCGGUCGGGUCAACAUCAGUUUUGUCCGGUGGAUAAGGGCGGUAGGAAGGUGGCACCCUCGGGUGUGUUAUAGCCUGCCGUCGCAUACAUCGGGUGAGACUGAGGAUCGCAGCUCGCCUUUAUGGCCGGGUUCGCCCACGUCCGAGCUUAGGAUGUAC
RNAcentral lists this ribosomal RNA (599 nucleotides) under Papiliotrema laurentii. RNAcentral describes it as "eukaryotic LSU rRNA". It matches the Rfam family "Eukaryotic large subunit ribosomal RNA", at positions 38 to 610 of the family's 3401-position model. Lineage: Eukaryota; Fungi; Basidiomycota; Tremellomycetes; Tremellales; Rhynchogastremaceae. The record is from RNAcentral.